This 1309-nucleotide ribosomal RNA is filed under the name Helicobacter sp. B2720/02. Its description in RNAcentral is "bacterial SSU rRNA". It matches the Rfam family "Bacterial small subunit ribosomal RNA", at positions 157 to 1346 of the family's 1533-position model. The record is from RNAcentral. Lineage: Bacteria; Pseudomonadati; Campylobacterota; Epsilonproteobacteria; Campylobacterales; Helicobacteraceae.
UACGGGGGAAAGGGGCUUUCAAUAAAGAAUUUCUCUUUUUAGUGUUUUGUGUUGUUGGCACAAAAUUCUAGUAUUUGGAAUGAGAAAUUGAUGUUGUGAAGCAAUUUGUGCGGAGACUAGACUUAGUGUCUGUCGCACAAGCAAAUUGCGAACUCAUCGAUUUAUCGUCCAAAGACGAAUUUUUUAUUGAAAGCCUUCGCUAAAGGAUCAGCCUAUGUCCUAUCAGCUUGUUGGUGAGGUAAUGGCUCACCAAGGCUAUGACGGGUAUCCGGCCUGAGAGGGUGAUCGGACACACUGGAACUGAGACACGGUCCAGACUCCUACGGGAGGCAGCAGUAGGGAAUAUUGCUCAAUGGGGGAAACCCUGAAGCAGCAACGCCGCGUGGAGGAUGAAGGUUUUAGGAUUGUAAACUCCUUUUGUAAGAGAAGAUUAUGACGGUAUCUUACGAAUAAGCACCGGCUAACUCCGUGCCAGCAGCCGCGGUAAUACGGAGGGUGCAAGCGUUACUCGGAAUCACUGGGCGUAAAGAGCGCGUAGGCGGGUGGUCAAGUCAGAUGUGAAAUCCUGUAGCUUAACUACAGAACUGCAUUUGAAACUGAUCAUCUAGAGUAUGGGAGAGGUAGGUGGAAUUCUUGGUGUAGGGGUAAAAUCCGUAGAGAUCAAGAGGAAUACUCAUUGCGAAGGCGACCUGCUGGAACAUUACUGACGCUGAUGUGCGAAAGCGUGGGGAGCAAACAGGAUUAGAUACCCUGGUAGUCCACGCCCUAAACGAUGAAUGCUAGUUGUUGCCCUGCUUGUCAGGGCAGUAAUGCAGCUAACGCAUUAAGCAUUCCGCCUGGGGAGUACGGUCGCAAGAUUAAAACUCAAAGGAAUAGACGGGGACCCGCACAAGCGGUGGAGCAUGUGGUUUAAUUCGAAGAUACGCGAAGAACCUUACCUAGGCUUGACAUUGAUAGAAUCUGCUAGAGAUAGCGGAGUGCCCUUCGGGGAGCUUGAAAACAGGUGCUGCACGGCUGUCGUCAGCUCGUGUCGUGAGAUGUUGGGUUAAGUCCCGCAACGAGCGCAACCCUCGUCCUUAGUUGCUAGCAGCUCGGCUGAGCACUCUAAGGAGACUGCCUUCGUAAGGAGGAGGAAGGUGAGGACGACGUCAAGUCAUCAUGGCCCUUACGCCUAGGGCUACACACGUGCUACAAUGGGACAUACAAAAAGAUGCAAUACCGCGAGGUGGAGCAAAUCUCUAAAAUGUCUCUCAGUUCGGAUUGUAGUCUGCAACUCGACUACAUAAAGCUGGAAUCGCUAGUAAUCGUG